Molecule: long non-coding RNA, 1599 nt
Organism: Rhinolophus ferrumequinum (greater horseshoe bat)
Lineage: Eukaryota; Metazoa; Chordata; Mammalia; Chiroptera; Rhinolophidae
Source: Ensembl
UGUGGGCUCUGAAGAUUUUAAAUUGCAGCCUCAGAGAGAAUCGGAAAUACUGGCUGGUGAAAUAAAAAGUUUAGGCUUUGUUGGUCUGUCUUUUGAAGUGUGUUAUGUGCAGUUAGACACUUUUCACUUAGGUGAGUCAUCAGGUGUCAGUCUUACAGCCUAUUGUUACUAUUUUUAUUAUCAUCUUCAUCAUCAUUAUUACUUCCCCGGCUCCCCAGAGUGGCUAGUUGGAAGCUAAGCUAAACAUUUGGUUACUCCGGUUGGUAGACUAGAAUCUGUCAGUUAGAAACCACGGAUCGAUUAUUAUGUACUUUUGUGCUUUACAUGUUUAAAAUCACACAAAACUGGGGUAGUUUGAAGGAAUAUGGACAAAAUAUUUGUUUGUGAGCAAAGCUUCCAUGCCUCACCCUUGCCAGGCAUGAGCUCUGUUCUCACCACUACCUUGAGUAAAACAUAGGAAUUUGUGUUCCUAUGAUCUACCUGGUUUGGGGUGAGGUAGGAAUAAAGCCUUCACUGUUGUUUACUGUAACUUCUUGGGAGGUAAUAGAGUGGGGCGGUAGAAACACGUUAAGUUCUUCUCAGAGGUGAAAGCUUCAAAUCUGUGAUCACCUGGAGACGGAGGCAGGGACUGAGGUGGGAACUGAAUUUGCAUAGCCCUACUCACAGACUUACAAGUGAUGGAGAGAAACCUCAGUGGAAGAGAGAAGAACCCAAAGAAAUGUAUCUAUAAUGGCAUCUGAGAAGGAAAACAGUUUUUGAAGAACUGCAUUAUCUUACCAUUAAGAAAUGGUAGUUUGGAUUCAGAUCUCUGCGGAUGAGAAAUUCACAUCUAUUAAUGACUGCCACCAAGACAUUUGCAAAGUCACCAUAGGAAUGACCGUCACAAUUUUGGUUGAAUGUGAGCAACAAAGAUGGCACAACAUAGAAGGAACUCAAGGAGGAGGAUUGAGAACAAACAGCAACGGGGCAUACUGGAUGAGUGGCAUAACCGUCAUUCGGCCUCUUACUAUUCAUCAUCUGCUACGCACAGAGAGUCACAGUGGCUAACUCUUUGGCACGGUCGUCCCUGAAUGCAACAGAAGUCAUUCCCGGGCAUCCAUUGUUAUAUGUGGGUAUUCUUCUCAGCAUUAUCAGUCACAUUUGCAGGUACAGAAAACUUCGGUCUGAGGUCUAGCCUUGCCCACUGCAGUAGAAUAGGAGCCUGGAGGACUGACCCAGGUGCAGAUGUGCAGCUUCAAAUGGAUACACAAAUUUGGCUCUGUGAUGGGUACAGCGUUAAUAGCUAGUGCCCCUGGCAGGAGGCUUGGGAAGAAGGGCACAAACUGACUGGGAAAUCUCAGUGCUGUGGAAUCUAGGGGCAGGGGUAGGGUGACAGGCAGGCACUCCUCGUCCAGGAAGCCUGAAAAGGCAGCCAGUGAGGCCCCAGCAGCCAGGCAGGACUGAGCCAGGACCCAGGCCCUAGGAAGCAGCUGUAGUGCCCACAGCAUACAGAGCAGGAAGAGGAGUCAAAGCAGAGACCCAGCAACAAGAAUUAGGGCACCUGGGCUGGGAGGAAAUGGGAAACAAGUAAGAACAUGGGCAUUGGACUCGGAAACCACA